UUCUAAGGGCGGUGAAGUCAGACCGGAAGGACUGGUGGAGCGCUUAGAAGUGAGAAUGCCGGUAUGAGUAGCGAAAGAAGGGUGAGAAUCCCUUCCACCGAAUAUCUAAGGUUUCCUGAGGAAGGCUCGUCCGCUCAGGGUUAGUCGGGACCUAAGCCGAGGCCGAUAGGCGUAGGCGAUGGACAACAGGUAGAGAUUCCUGUACCAGUGCUAAUUGUUUAACCGAUGGGGUGACACAGAAGGAUAGGGAAUCGCACGAAUGGAAAUGUGCGUCCAAGCAGUGAGUGUGAGAAGUAGGCAAAUCCGCUUCUCGCGAAGCAUGAGCUGUGAUGGGGAAGGAAAUUAAGUACGGAAGUUCCUGAUUUCACGCUGUCAAGAAAAGCCUCUAGGAAGAGUAGUACUGCCCGUACCGCAAACCGACACAGGUAGAUGAGGAGAGAAUCCUAAGGUGAGCGAGAGAACUCUCGUUAAGGAACUCGGCAAAAUGACCCCGUAACUUCGGGAG
Molecule: ribosomal RNA, 505 nt
Filed under: Listeria monocytogenes
Lineage: Bacteria; Bacillati; Bacillota; Bacilli; Caryophanales; Listeriaceae
Description: partial 23S ribosomal RNA
Rfam family: Bacterial large subunit ribosomal RNA
Source: RNAcentral